UGGGGAAUAUUGGACAAUGGGCGCAAGCCUGAUCCAGCCAUGCCGCGUGAGUGAUGAAGGCCCUAGGGUUGUAAAGCUCUUUCACCGGUGAAGAUAAUGACGGUAACCGGAGAAGAAGCCCCGGCUAACUUCGUGCCAGCAGCCGCGGUAAUACGAAGGGGGCUAGCGUUGUUCGGAUUUACUGGGCGUAAAGCGCACGUAGGCGGACUAUUAAGUCAGGGGUGAAAUCCCGGGGCUAAACCCCGGAACUGCCUUUGAUACUGGUAGUUUUGAGUGCGAGAGAGGUGAGUGGAAUUCCGAGUGUAGAGGUGAAGUUCGUAGAGAUUCGGAGGAAAACCAGUGGCGAAGGCGGCUCACUGGCUCGAUACUGACGCUGAGGUGCGAGAGCGUGGGGAGCAAACAG
This 403-nucleotide ribosomal RNA is filed under the name Actinomycetes bacterium. Its description in RNAcentral is "Actinobacteria bacterium partial 16S ribosomal RNA". It matches the Rfam family "Bacterial small subunit ribosomal RNA", at positions 355 to 775 of the family's 1533-position model. The record is from RNAcentral. Lineage: Bacteria; Bacillati; Actinomycetota; Actinomycetes.